RNAcentral lists this long non-coding RNA (1799 nucleotides) under Homo sapiens (human). RNAcentral describes it as "long non-coding RNA NONHSAT217226.1". Lineage: Eukaryota; Metazoa; Chordata; Mammalia; Primates; Hominidae. The record is from RNAcentral.
CUUGUAGAUAUUGCCUGUUCUUUCCACUGACUCUCACUUUGGCCAGAUUCUCAUGGCAGUAUAUGCACACGUUGAAACAGGUCUCCAUAUCUUUUGUAUGAUGCCACUCCAGGCUGUCUUGCACACUUCUAGACAAAUCUUCAUAAAGUCAGACUUUGACCACAUUAUUUUCCUGUUGUAAACAAUUGCAGACUUCUCACUUAUCCAUUUCCAAAUUCAGUUUUAGUAAAAACUCACUAACAUUAGCCCAUUUUUUUUCCAGCUAGAUCUCCUACCAGCUUCUUCAUCAUUGGCUCUACAUUAUUCAUAUCAUAUAUAAUUCCACACUUGUGUCUCUGGGUUGUACUUAUACUCCAUUACUUUCCUAGAAUUCACUUCUCUGUUUGAGUUUUAAUUUCUUUCUAGACUCUGUUUUCUGAGUUAGAAUCCUAGCCUGCUCAUUUAUCAGCCAUAUAACAUUGGGAAAGUUAUUUAACCAACGUGUACCUCCAUUUUCUUAUCUACCUAUAAAAGUGCUAACCUCAUAAGACUAUUAAUUUUUUCAUAUUACGGUAGACAGCCUCUAAGACGGAUUCCAGUAAUUCUAGGCUUUCUGAUAUUCACACCCUUGUGUAAUGUUAUCCUCUUCAUAAUGGCCUGAACUUUUAGACUUCCUUCUAAUGAAUAGAGUAUGGCAGAACUGAAUGGAUGCCACUCUGAGAUUAAGAUACAAAUGACUGUGGCUUCCAUUUUGGGUGUUCUCUUUAGUACUCCCUUGGAUUAUUCACUCUGGAGAAAAUCAGCUUCCACAUCAUGAGUGCUGUGAAGAGGCUCACAUGAGUGAACUUGGAAGAAGAUCCCCUGAGGCCUGGCAACAACCAAAUAAGCUUGGAAGUGUGCUCUUCAGCCCUGCUUGAGCCUUGACAGGAUAGCUGCAUGGACCAACUCACAAUUUGACCACAGCCUUAUGGGACAAAUGGAGCCAAUGACACCCAGCUAAGCCAUACCUAGAUUCCUGAUGCACAGAAACUGUAAAAUGAUAAGUGUUUGCUGUUUUAAGCUGCUAAUUUUGGGUAAAAUUUGUUAUAUGCAAUAGAUGACUAGUAGAAGGAUUAAAUGAGAUAAUUCACGUAAAGAACUUAGCAUGCACCCAAACAAUGGUAACUGUUAAUUGAACUGCUAAUAGUAUGGACCACACUUGCCUUUCCCUUUUCUCAAUUUUCAUAAAUAGAUUAAUCUAUAAUAAUCCUACAGCUAUAAUUUGAUACUUUAUGUUACUAAAGAAACUAGUAUAUACAUAUAUUUACAUAUACAUAUGUGCUUAUAUGUGUAUAUAUGGUUGCAUAUAUAUCUAUAUUUUUAUGUGCAUCAUAUAUGUAUGUGUGUAUGUGGUGUGUGUGUGUGUAUGUGUGUAAGUCUUUGAGUUCAAGGCUCUUUGGCUUUAUCUUAAGCACUGUGUUAGCUUAUACAAAAUGUGAAUUUAUUGUAUGAUGAAUAAAUUGAUGCUAGAUAGAAUGACACACUUUGAUCCAUUAGGCUUGCUUUAAGAAAAUUCUGCAAGCUGCAGAGCUGGUAUUUCUGGAAUCCAUUUGGGGUGACUGCGAAUUGGGUCAAAGGGAAUUAAACAGAUGGAAUUAUCUGGUUUCAUUUGAGUCAGCUGAGAAAAUAGAAAGGCCAGCCUCAAUUUCCAUAGUCAGCAGUAUAUAAUCUUUAAUUUUGGACAAAAAGAGAUAAUUAAAACCAAUUUAUAUUAUCAAAAAUGUUUUCAAAUACUAGUAAAUGGUGAGCCACAUACACUAAUCUUGAAAGCUUAGUUAUUG